GGCACAGCACGGGCCUUUAGCAGACUGAUGGCUGAGCACGUGAGAGAAAUGGCCUUUCUCUCUCCAUCAGUUCUCAGCAGCUGCAAGAGGGAUCUCAUUGGAUUUUUCACCUUUAUUAAGGUAAACACGGUUUUAUAAAGAAGAUUCCACCUUCUCUAACAAUAACUUUUAAUAAUGGAGAGAGCUAC
Molecule: long non-coding RNA, 188 nt
Filed under: Phasianus colchicus (ring-necked pheasant)
Lineage: Eukaryota; Metazoa; Chordata; Aves; Galliformes; Phasianidae
Description: lncRNA (ENSPCLG00000005547.1)
Source: RNAcentral